CCUACGGGUGGCAGCAGUGAGGAAUAUUGGUCAAUGGACGAGAGUCUGAACCAGCCAAGUAGCGUGAAGGAUGACUGCCCUAUGGGGUGUAAACUUCUUUUAUAGGGGAAUAAAACGUGCCACGUGUGGGAUUUUGUAUGUACCAUAUGAAUAAGGAUCGGCUAACUCCGGGCCAGCAGCCGCGGUAAUACGGAGGAUCCGGGCGUUAUCCGGAUUUAUUGGGUUUAAAGGGAGCGUAGGUGGAUUGUUAAGUCAGUUGUGCCAGUUUGCGGCUCACCCGUAAAAUUGCAGUUGCAACUGGCAGUCUUGUGUACAGUAGAGGUGGGCGGAUUUCGUGGUGUAGCGGU
RNAcentral lists this ribosomal RNA (347 nucleotides) under uncultured bacterium. Its description in RNAcentral is "partial 16S ribosomal RNA". It matches the Rfam family "Bacterial small subunit ribosomal RNA", at positions 338 to 682 of the family's 1533-position model. The record is from RNAcentral.